RNAcentral lists this ribosomal RNA (440 nucleotides) under uncultured bacterium. Its description in RNAcentral is "bacterial SSU rRNA". It matches the Rfam family "Bacterial small subunit ribosomal RNA", at positions 338 to 771 of the family's 1533-position model. The record is from RNAcentral.
CCUACGGGGGGCAGCAGUGGGGAAUAUUGGACAAUGGGCGAAAGCCUGAUCCAGCCACGCCGCGUGAGUGAUGAAGGCCCUCGGGUCGUAAAGCUCUGUGGGGAGGGACGAAGCCUGCCGGGUGAAUAGCCCGGCAGAUGACGGUACCUCCUUAGCAAGCACCGGCUAACUCCGUGCCAGCAGCCGCGGUAAUACGGAGGGUGCAAACGUUGCUCGGAAUUACUGGGCGUAAAGCGCACGUAGGCGGCCUAAUAAGUCGGAUGUGAAAGCCCCGGGCUCAACCUGGGAAGUGCAUUCGAAACUGUUGGGCUUGAGUACGGGAGAGGGUUGCGGAAUUCCCGGUGUAGAGGUGAAAUUCGUAGAUAUCGGGAGGAACACCAGUGGCGAAGGCGGCAGCCUGGACCGAUACUGACGCUGAGGUGCGAAAGCGUGGGGAGCAA